UUUUAUGGAGAGUUUGAUCCUGGCUCAGGAUGAACGCUGGCGGCGUGCCUAAUACAUGCAAGUCGAGCGAACGGACGAGAAGCUUGCUUCUCUGAUGUUAGCGGCGGACGGGUGAGUAACACGUGGAUAACCUACCUAUAAGACUGGGAUAACUUCGGGAAACCGGAGCUAAUACCGGAUAAUAUUUUGAACCGCAUGGUUCAAAAGUGAAAGACGGUCUUGCUGUCACUUAUAGAUGGAUCCGCGCUGCAUUAGCUAGUUGGUAAGGUAACGGCUUACCAAGGCAACGAUGCAUAGCCGACCUGAGAGGGUGAUCGGCCACACUGGAACUGAGACACGGUCCAGACUCCUACGGGAGGCAGCAGUAGGGAAUCUUCCGCAAUGGGCGAAAGCCUGACGGAGCAACGCCGCGUGAGUGAUGAAGGUCUUCGGAUCGUAAAACUCUGUUAUUAGGGAAGAACAUAUGUGUAAGUAACUGUGCACAUCUUGACGGUACCUAAUCAGAAAGCCACGGCUAACUACGUGCCAGCAGCCGCGGUAAUACGUAGGUGGCAAGCGUUAUCCGGAAUUAUUGGGCGUAAAGCGCGCGUAGGCGGUUUUUUAAGUCUGAUGUGAAAGCCCACGGCUCAACCGUGGAGGGUCAUUGGAAACUGGAAAACUUGAGUGCAGAAGAGGAAAGUGGAAUUCCAUGUGUAGCGGUGAAAUGCGCAGAGAUAUGGAGGAACACUAGUGGCGAAGGCGACUUUCUGGUCUGUAACUGACGCUGAUGUGCGAAAGCGUGGGGAUCAAACAGGAUUAGAUACCCUGGUAGUCCACGCCGUAAACGAUGAGUGCUAAGUGUUAGGGGGUUUCCGCCCCUUAGUGCUGCAGCUAACGCAUUAAGCACUCCGCCUGGGGAGUACGACCGCAAGGUUGAAACUCAAAGGAAUUGACGGGGACCCGCACAAGCGGUGGAGCAUGUGGUUUAAUUCGAAGCAACGCGAAGAACCUUACCAAAUCUUGACAUCCUUUGACAACUCUAGAGAUAGAGCCUUCCCCUUCGGGGGACAAAGUGACAGGUGGUGCAUGGUUGUCGUCAGCUCGUGUCGUGAGAUGUUGGGUUAAGUCCCGCAACGAGCGCAACCCUUAAGCUUAGUUGCCAUCAUUAAGUUGGGCACUCUAAGUUGACUGCCGGUGACAAACCGGAGGAAGGUGGGGAUGACGUCAAAUCAUCAUGCCCCUUAUGAUUUGGGCUACACACGUGCUACAAUGGACAAUACAAAGGGCAGCGAAACCGCGAGGUCAAGCAAAUCCCAUAAAGUUGUUCUCAGUUCGGAUUGUAGUCUGCAACUCGACUACAUGAAGCUGGAAUCGCUAGUAAUCGUAGAUCAGCAUGCUACGGUGAAUACGUUCCCGGGUCUUGUACACACCGCCCGUCACACCACGAGAGUUUGUAACACCCGAAGCCGGUGGAGUAACCUUUUAGGAGCUAGCCGUCGAAGGUGGGACAAAUGAUUGGGGUGAAGUCGUAACAAGGUAGCCGUAUCGGAAGGUGCGGCUGGAUCACCUCCUUUCUAA
Molecule: ribosomal RNA, 1557 nt
Filed under: Staphylococcus aureus
Lineage: Bacteria; Bacillati; Bacillota; Bacilli; Caryophanales; Staphylococcaceae
Description: 16S ribosomal RNA
Rfam family: Bacterial small subunit ribosomal RNA
Source: RNAcentral